RNAcentral lists this ribosomal RNA (650 nucleotides) under uncultured bacterium. RNAcentral describes it as "bacterial SSU rRNA". It matches the Rfam family "Bacterial small subunit ribosomal RNA", at positions 85 to 731 of the family's 1533-position model. The record is from RNAcentral.
CGCAAGGGGCGUGGCGUAAGGGUGAGUAAGGCGACGGUAACCAACCCCGAGGCCGGGCAUAGCCGAGCGAAAGUUCGGGUAAUACCCGGCGACGUCGUUGGGGGGCAUCCCCUGGGGACGAAAGGUGCGAUUCCGCCUCGGGACGGGCCGUCGUGGUAUCAGCUUGUUGGUGGGGUAAUGGCCCACCAAGGCUGCGACGCCUACCGGGCGUGCGAGCGUGGCCCGGCACACUGGGACUGAGACACUGCCCAGACACCUACGGGUGGCUGCAGUCGAGAAUCUUCGGCAAUGGGCGCAAGCCUGACCGAGCGACGCCGCGUGGAGGACGAAGGCCUUCGGGUUGUAAACUCCUGUCGAGGGGGAACAAGGGGCGACGAAGAGUCGUCCUUGAGUGAUCCCUGGAGGAAGCACGGGCUAAGUUCGUGCCAGCAGCCGCGGUAAGACGAACCGUGCGAACGUUAUUCGGAAUCACUGGGCUUAAAGCGCGUGUAGGCGGCCCGGCACGUCCGUUGUUGAAAGCCCCCGGCUCAACCGGGGAAGCGGCGCGGAUACGACCGGGCUGGAGGGAGGUAGGGGGAUCGGGAACUUCCGGUGGAGCGGUGAAAUGCGUUGAGAUCGGAAGGAACGCCCGUGGCGAAAGCGCGGUCCUG